Molecule: ribosomal RNA, 506 nt
Filed under: Salmonella enterica subsp. enterica serovar Oranienburg
Lineage: Bacteria; Pseudomonadati; Pseudomonadota; Gammaproteobacteria; Enterobacterales; Enterobacteriaceae
Description: bacterial LSU rRNA
Rfam family: Bacterial large subunit ribosomal RNA
Source: RNAcentral
CGGAGAAUGUUAUCACGGGAGACACACGGCGGGUGCUAACGUCCGUCGUGAAGAGGGAAACAACCCAGACCGCCAGCUAAGGUCCCAAAGUCAUGGUUAAGUGGGAAACGAUGUGGGAAGGCCCAGACAGCCAGGAUGUUGGCUUAGAAGCAGCCAUCAUUUAAAGAAAGCGUAAUAGCUCACUGGUCGAGUCGGCCUGCGCGGAAGAUGUAACGGGGCUAAACCAUGCACCGAAGCUGCGGCAGCGACACUCAGGUGUUGUUGGGUAGGGGAGCGUUCUGUAAGCCUGUGAAGGUGGCCUGUGAGGGUUGCUGGAGGUAUCAGAAGUGCGAAUGCUGACAUAAGUAACGAUAAAGCGGGUGAAAAGCCCGCUCGCCGGAAGACCAAGGGUUCCUGUCCAACGUUAAUCGGGGCAGGGUGAGUCGACCCCUAAGGCGAGGCCGAAAGGCGUAGUCGAUGGGAAACGGGUUAAUAUUCCCGUACUUGGUGUUACUGCGAAGGGGGGA